RNAcentral lists this non-coding RNA (26 nucleotides) under Mus musculus (house mouse). Lineage: Eukaryota; Metazoa; Chordata; Mammalia; Rodentia; Muridae. The record is from RNAcentral.
UAAUGUCUUCAUAUUCUGUGCCCAGG